CUUUUUGAGAAUGUGAUGUCUUUCCACCGGACCAAGGCCACUCUUAUCGGUCUGCUAGAAGCAGGGAGAGCUAAUGAAUGGGUUGUCACUGAAAAACUAGGCGAUACUCUCAAGAACAAGGCCAACACCAAAGCAGCAGCCAAGAGACCUCGAUUCAAGAUCGGAGACAGGUAAAAACUUCCUUAAUAUCAUAUCAUAUCAUAUCAUCCUUCAAUGGUUGAGUUAAAACAUCUUUUGUCACACGUAUAAUCAAAUUUUGUUUGCAUGUACAGACUAUACUCAAAGUCAAUGUUUUCACAAAGUGGACAAAUGGACAAAUAAAUGGCAUAUCUUAGGGAAUAUGCAUUUGGCAGUAUUGCAACCAAAACCACACCUAAAGUAAUAAGACUAUCAUUGUGUGGUGGUUGACAAUUUGAUAUCUGCAGAGAGAGAAGUAGAGAUUUUACUUCCAUCUAAUUUUUCUUUGUGGUUUCAGUGGCAAAGAGAGAAAGAAUAGUCCAACCCACCCCUGAUUCCCCUUUUUUAUUAUCCUCUGAGCACAUAUGUUAGAAGAUUUAGGUUUAUCUGAGAAUUUUAUAACCAUUGAAAUAUUUGGCGGUCAUCAUCAUCAACAACUCUAACAUCUGCUCAGAAUUUAUUUUAUUGUAUUUUUACAUGAACUUGAAUCUCAUUGUUUGUGUGGUUUACUGUGAACAGAAUCAAUACCAUGGAGCUGGGAUUUUCUGCUUUCCUCUUCUUCUGCGCAUGCUAUGAUUUUCUGUAUGGGAAGUACUACUUCUAUGUGUACCUUUUCCUCCAAACCAUUACCUACUUCAUCGUUGGAAUUGGGUACGUGGGGACCAUUGUCCCUAGCUAGUGGAGGUGGCAUCCCUCAGUCAGACCACCCCACAUGGACAUGGAUUGGCACAAAUCCACCUUAGUAUUCGUCUUACUGCAUCUCUAUUUCUCUUCAACAAUACAUAUGUGGGCUUCUGCUAGCAACAGUUGAUUGCAAAUUACUACUAUCUUAGCUCUUAAAAACAAAAAUAGGUCA
Molecule: long non-coding RNA, 1033 nt
Filed under: Vitis vinifera (wine grape)
Lineage: Eukaryota; Viridiplantae; Streptophyta; Magnoliopsida; Vitales; Vitaceae
Description: long non-coding RNA (VVIN_LNC001954)
Source: RNAcentral